Molecule: ribosomal RNA, 213 nt
Filed under: Dothideomycetes sp.
Lineage: Eukaryota; Fungi; Ascomycota; Dothideomycetes
Description: partial large subunit ribosomal RNA
Source: RNAcentral
AAGCGCUUGCAACCAGACCUGACCGCAGUUGCUCAUCCAGGCUUUUGCCCGGUGCACUCUUCUGCGGCCAGGCCAGCAUCGGUUUGGGCGGGCGUAUAAAGGCCGUGGGAAUGUAGCUCUCUUCGGGGAGUGUUAUAGCCCACAGCAUAAUGCGGCCAGCCUGGACCGAGGACCGCGCUUUGGCUAGGAUGCUGGCGUAAUGGUUGUAAGCGG